This 425-nucleotide ribosomal RNA is filed under the name uncultured bacterium. RNAcentral's name for it is "bacterial SSU rRNA". It matches the Rfam family "Bacterial small subunit ribosomal RNA", at positions 355 to 774 of the family's 1533-position model. The record is from RNAcentral.
UGGGGAAUCUUGCGCAAUGGACGAAAGUCUGACGCAGCGACGCCGCGUGAGUGAUGAAGGCCUUCGGGUUGUAAAGCUCUGUGGGGAGGAAAGAAUAAGUGUGUUCUAAUCAGCACAUGAUGACGGUACCUCCUUAGCAAGCACCGGCUAACUCUGUGCCAGCAGCCGCGGUAAGACAGAGGGUGCAAACGUUGUUCGGAAUUACUGGGCGUAAAGCGUGUGUAGGCGGUGAGGUAAGUCGGAUGUGAAAGCCCAGGGCUCAACCCUGGAAGUGCACUCGAUACUGCUUCGCUUGAGUACUGGAGAGGUUGGUGGAAUUCUCGGUGUAGAGGUGAAAUUCGUAGAUAUCGAGAGGAACAUCUGUGGCGAAGGCGGCCAACUGGACAGAUACUGACGCUGAGACACGAAAGUGUGGGGAGCAAACA